RNAcentral lists this transfer RNA (73 nucleotides) under Ailuropoda melanoleuca (giant panda). It matches the Rfam family "tRNA". Rfam says of the family: Transfer RNA (tRNA) molecules are approximately 80 nucleotides in length. Their secondary structure includes four short double-helical elements and three loops (D, anti-codon, and T loops). The record is from Rfam by way of RNAcentral. Lineage: Eukaryota; Metazoa; Chordata; Mammalia; Carnivora; Ursidae.
GCCUGGAUGGCUCCGUGGGUAGAGCAUGUGACUCUUGAUCUCAGGGUUGUGAGUUUGAACCCCACAUUGGGUG